RNAcentral lists this transfer RNA (566 nucleotides) under Elizabethkingia meningoseptica. The stretch from base 311 to 384 matches the Rfam family "tRNA". The record is from RNAcentral. Lineage: Bacteria; Pseudomonadati; Bacteroidota; Flavobacteriia; Flavobacteriales; Weeksellaceae.
UGCGGCUGGAACAUCUCAUUUUAGAGCGUCUUAAGGACGAUAAACAAUUAAAUGCCACCUAGUGGUCACUUACUUAAACAAAGCAUAGCUUUGGUUUUACUUUGGUUGAUAUUUAAGAAAUAACCCUUUAGAUUAGUAACAGGGAUAGAGAGAUUUUAGAUUAUGAAUUAUAGAUUUUAGAUUGAAUUUAAAAUUAAAGAUUUAAAAUUUAAAAUUAAGAACGAAGUCUCGUAGCUCAGCUGGUUAGAGCGCUACACUGAUAAUGUAGAGGUCGGCAGUUCGAGCCUGCCCGAGACUACUAAUUGAAAAAGGGGAAUUAGCUCAGCUGGCUAGAGCGCCUGCCUUGCACGCAGGAGGUCAAGGGUUCGACUCCCUUAUUCUCCACAGUUUUGUUGUACUGAUACAAGUAUACGAAUAGAGCCAAAAGAAAUAUUCGUUUAUCAGGAAGAUAGAAAGAACUAAAGAUCAUUGACAUUAACGGUAAAAUUGACAUCACAAAGAGAUAACCGAGCACUCCUUGAGUGCAGAGUAAAAUAAAAUUAGGAAAGAAAUCGUUAAGGGCGUAU